RNAcentral lists this ribosomal RNA (809 nucleotides) under uncultured low G+C Gram-positive bacterium. RNAcentral describes it as "bacterial SSU rRNA". It matches the Rfam family "Bacterial small subunit ribosomal RNA", at positions 65 to 844 of the family's 1533-position model. Lineage: Bacteria; Bacillati; Bacillota. The record is from RNAcentral.
AACGCUUCUUUCCUCCCGAGUGCUUGCACUCAAUUGGAAAGAGGAGUGGCGGACGGGUGAGUAACACGUGGGUAACCUACCCAUCAGAGGGGGAUAACACUUGGAAACAGGUGCUAAUACCGCAUAACAGUUUAUGCCACAUGGCAUAAGAGUGAAAGGCGCUUUCGGGUGUCGCUGAUGGAUGGACCCGCGGUGCAUUAGCUAGUUGGUGAGGUAACGGCUCACCAAGGCCACGAUGCAUAGCCGACCUGAGAGGGUGAUCGGCCACACUGGGACUGAGACACGGCCCAGACUCCUACGGGAGGCAGCAGUAGGGAAUCUUCGGCAAUGGACGAAAGUCUGACCGAGCAACGCCGCGUGAGUGAAGAAGGUUUUCGGAUCGUAAAACUCUGUUGUUAGAGAAGAACAAGGACGUUAGUAACUGAACGUCCCCUGACGGUAUCUAACCAGAAAGCCACGGCUAACUACGUGCCAGCAGCCGCGGUAAUACGUAGGUGGCAAGCGUUGUCCGGAUUUAUUGGGCGUAAAGCGAGCGCAGGCGGUUUCUUAAGUCUGAUGUGAAAGCCCCCGGCUCAACCGGGGAGGGUCAUUGGAAACUGGGAGACUUGAGUGCAGAAGAGGAGAGUGGAAUUCCAUGUGUAGCGGUGAAAUGCGUAGAUAUAUGGAGGAACACCAGUGGCGAAGGCGGCUCUCUGGUCUGUAACUGACGCUGAGGCUCGAAAGCGUGGGGAGCAAACAGGAUUAGAUAACCUGGUAGUCCACGCCGUAAACGAUGAGUGCUAAGUGUUGGAGGGUUUCCGCCCUUCAGU